AUUUGUGGUCUCCUCUCUUGGCUUUGGAGCCCCCCUCCCUCUGUCUCUGUACGGGGGUGCCUUCUUCUUUUCUUCUUCUCCCUUCUUUCUUGCCUAUUAAACUCUCCACUUCUUAAUACCACUACACGUGUAUCUGUGUCAUUUUAUCCAAUUUGCAUGAGACAAGAGCCCUGGUGCCCCUCCACUCAUCAGAGCCGUAUCAUUUUGGUGCAUGGGCCAGGAAAAUCCAAAGUACAGCCUUCGUUGGAGUGAUAGAGUCUCACCGUUGCCCAGGCUGGAGGGCAGUUGUGCCAUUUUGGUGCACUGCAGCCUCUGCCUCUGGAGUUCAACUGAUUCUCCUGCCUCAGCCUCCUGAGUAGCUGGGACUAGAGGCACACGCCACCAUGCCUGGCUAAUUUUUGUAUUUUUAGUAGAGAGUGGGUUACACCCUGUUGGCCAGGCUGCUCUUGAACUCCUGGCCUCAAGUGAUCUGCCCACCUUGGCCUCCCACAGUGCGAUUACAGGUGUGAGCCACCGUGCCUGCCCGGCCUUUUUAAGAGAUGUGGUCUUGCUGUGUUGCCUGGGCUGGUCUCAAAGUCCUGACCUCAAGUGAUCCACCCAUCUCAGCCUCCCACAGUGCUGGGAUUACAGGCAUGAGCCACUGCACCGGAAGUCUAGGUUUAAUUAUUCCCCAUUACUGAGACAAGAUCUUCCUGAGCACUCUACCCCAUGCCUAGCGAAUGAUCAGUUUUUCCAGCUGGCCAGUGGGAAGAGGUCCUGGCCCUACCUCGUGUGAAUCUUGGGCGUUGUUUCCUCGAAUCCUUUCAGCUGGUUCUUUCCCUGGCCUUGGAGAGUUUCUUCACACACAUGUGCUGAUUAGUUCUUUGCUGAAUCCUCUGAAGUCCUCUGGGGUACUCUCUCUGUGCACCUCUGUCUUGUAGGUGUUCCAUUAUCUAAGCUCUAGCUGCUGUGGUCUCCUCGGACUCAGCCACUCCAUUUCCUCAACUCUGCGAAUCCUCUGGGCUGCAACAACCCACAUCCCCCUUGCCCUGCCCCACACUUUGGAAACGCUCUCGAAGCAGUAAACUGCACAGUCCUAAAAGGACUGUUGAUGUCCUUUCUCUCUGGGAUUUCAUUGCUUUUGUUACUUUCUCUCAUUGCUUGAUGUUCAGCGUUUUGAACACUGUUGUUCCAUGUAUUGGGUCUGUUUUUGUCACUGUGGUGGUGGUGAUUGUUUCAGACAGGAGGGCGGACCCAGCCCACGUGACUCCAUCUUGGCUGGAAGCAGGAAUCUCGGGAUCAGUGGUUUCAAAGCUCCUCAGGUGAUUCCAGGGGACGCUGAGGUGAGGACCACUUGCAGAGACUCCUCUGCUUGAAAUAUCUCUCAAUCAAAUGGAAUCUUCUUUUGUUGUUCCCACCCCUUCAUUUUCUCUGUUCUCUCUUUCUGAGUUUUUUCUUUGUUUUUGUUUUUUGAGACAAGGUCAUGCUGUGUUGCCCAGGAUGGAGUGCAGUGGUGCCAUCACGGCUCACUGUAGCCUCAACCUCCCGGGCUCAAACAAUCCUCCUGCCCCAGCCUCACGAGCAGCUGGGACCACAGGCCCAUACCAUCACGUCCAGCUAUGUUCUCUCUUUCUGGAACUUCUGUUAAACAAAUAUGGAUUGAAUUGAUUCUCCAUCUCUUUUCUUUCAUAUUUUCCUUUCUUUUCUUUCUUUUUUGUUGGCAUUUUGCUCUACAUCCUGAGAGGUGUUUCAAAACUUUUCCACCCGUACCUUCCUUUGAUUAAUUUUUUAUUUAACUUAAUUAAUUAAUUAAUUUUUGAGACAUGGUCUCACUCUGUCACCCAGGCUGGAGUGCAGUGGUGCAAUCUCAGCUCACUGCAGACUCAACCUCCUGGGCUCAAGUGAUCCUCCUACCUCAGCCUCCUGAGUAGCUGGGAGUACAGAUGCACUCCACCAUGCCCGGCUAAUUAUUUUAUUUUUUGUAGAGAUGGGGUUUUGCCAUGUUUCCCAGGCUGUGAUGGAUUUUUAAAUUUGGUCCGUCGUAUUUGUGACUUCCAGAACUUUGUCUUGUUCUCCAAUUGCAGCAUCUUCCUGGAAGCCUCUUCUUGGUUCGUGGUGCAUUAUCUUAUUCAUUCCUUUCCUCCAGGGCUAGUGUUCUGCUAUUCUUCCUUUCUUUUUUUUUUUUGAGACAGAGUCUUGCUCUGUUGCCCAGGCUGGAGCACAGUGGCGUGAUCUCAGCUCACUGCAAGCUCCAGCUCCUGGGUUCACGCCAUUCUUCUGCCUCAGCCUCCCGAGUAGCUGGGACUACAGGUGCCUGCCACUACGCCCGGCUAAUUUUUUUGUAUUUUCAGUAGACAUGGAGUUUCACCAUGUUAGCCAGGAUGGUCUUGAUCUCCUGACCUCAUGAUCCACCCGCCUUAGCCUUCCAAAGUGCUGGGAUUACAGGCAUGAGCCAUUGCGCCCAGGCUUUUUUUUUUUUUUUUUUUUUUUUUUUGAGAUGGAGUUUUGCUCUUGUUGCCCAGGCUGGAGUGCCACCUGCAGCCCAGUGAUCUUGGCUCACUGCAACCUCUGCCUCCUAGGUUCACGCAAUUUUCGUGCCUCAGCCUCCCGAGUAGCUGGGAUUACAGUCAUGUGCCACCAUGCCCGGCUAAUUUUAUAUUUUUACUAGAGAUGGGGUUUCACCAUGUUGGCCAGGCUGGUCUCGAAUUCCAGACCUCAGGUGAUCCACCCUCCUCAGCCUCCCAGUAAGCCACUGCACCCAACCAUCUGCUAUUCAUCUUAAUCCUCUCUGGUGGCACCGAAAUGAAGAGGAGACCCAUGUGGAUCUCCCUGCAGCCGGGUGAGUCUGGUUCCACAGGAGGCCUUUUCCUGAACUGGCUGCAGGCUCCGCGGGCAGGUCUGUUAAUUGGUUAAAAUGCUUCAUUCAGUUAGGUGGGUUUUGUUCCCUUCUCCCCACCCAGAGGACAUUUGGGAAUGUCGGGAGAUAUUUUUGGUUAUGGCAGCUAGGGGGAUCCUUCUGACACCUAGUGGAUAGAGGCCAGAAAUGCCACUAAGUAUCCUAGGACAUGCAGGAGAGCCUCUCAACGAUUAAGAAUCAGCUGUCCCAACAUGUUAAUAGCACAUAGGUCGGAGAGACACCCUGAUUUAAGGCCAUCUGAGUACAGGCUCCCCAGCUCUCACCACCAAAGGCCAAGAUAAGGAGGGUCCCUCUACAGCCACUUCAGGGAACUUCCAAGGGAGCUUGUUCAAUUAUGUUUAUUUAUUUUAUUUAUUUAUUUUUUUUGAGACGGAGUCUUGCUCUGUUGCCCAGGCUGGAGUGCAACCUCCACCUCCCAGGUUCAAACGAUUCUCCUGCCUCAGCCUCCCAAGUAGCUGGGAUUACAGGCACCUGCCACCACACCCAGAUAAUUUUUGUAUUUUUUGUAGAGAAGGGGUUUCAUCACGUUGCCCAGGCUGGUCUUGAAUGCCAUGACCGCCCCCAGUUGUGCUUAGAAGAUACCGCCAACAGGCCGGGUGCGGUGGCUCAUGCCUUAAUCCCAGUACUUUGGGAGGCCGAGGCAGCUGGAUCACGAGGUCAGGAGUUCGAGCCUGGCCAAGAUGGUGAAACCCCGUCUCUACUAAAAAUACCAAAAUUGGCCAGGCAUGGUAGCUCACGCCUGUAAUCCCAGCACUUUGGGAGGCCAAGGUGGGUGGAUCAUGAGGUCAGGAGAUCAAGACCAUCCUAGCUAACACGGUGAAACCCCGUCUCAAAAAUACAAAAAGUUAGCCAAGCGUGGUGGCACACACCUGUGGUCCCAGCUACUCAGAAGGC
Molecule: long non-coding RNA, 3790 nt
Filed under: Homo sapiens (human)
Lineage: Eukaryota; Metazoa; Chordata; Mammalia; Primates; Hominidae
Description: non-protein coding lnc-PAGR1-2:4
Source: RNAcentral